UACCCAUGAUGUGGACACUUUAAGAUUAGCCCAUCGAAUCGCUCCCAUGCAUCGAUAAACUGCUCGUCUUCUCUUUGGGUAAACUUUGAAAUUUCCUUGCGAGUAG
RNAcentral lists this small nucleolar RNA (106 nucleotides) under Citrus sinensis (sweet orange). RNAcentral describes it as "Plant small nucleolar RNA R71". It matches the Rfam family "Plant small nucleolar RNA R71". From Rfam's summary of the family: R71 is a member of the C/D box family of snoRNAs containing the C (UGAUGA) and D (CUGA) box motifs. Multiple nearly identical copies of this snoRNA have been identified in Arabidopsis, and it is thought to function as a 2'-O-ribose methylation guide for 18S ribosomal RNA. Lineage: Eukaryota; Viridiplantae; Streptophyta; Magnoliopsida; Sapindales; Rutaceae. The record is from Rfam by way of RNAcentral.